UGAUUAUACUUGACUGUUUUAUUUUUUUCAUGUUAAUAAUCAGUAUCCUUUCAUUUUAGCUUGAAAAAUACCUUCCAGCACCUUGUAAGGCAGGACUAAUGGUGAUGAAUUGGUCAGCUUUUGUUCUGGAAAGUAUCUCUGUUUCAUUCCUGAAAGAUCAACUUUGGGAUCUUCUGUGGACUACUGUUAUGGAGUACAUAUUUGUGUCCUUGUGGAAUAUUGAAACCCUAAUCCCCAAUGUGAUCAUAUUUGAAUAUGGGACCUUUGGGAGAUACCUGGGUCAUAAAGAUGGAGCCCUCACAAUUGGACUAGUGCUCUUCUAAGAAGAGACACUGGAGAUCUUGCUUCUUCUUUUUCUUUCUCUCUCUACCAUGUGAGCCCAGAACCAGAAAGAGAGCUCAUCAGGAACCAAAUCAGCUGACACUUUGAUCUUGGAAUUCCCGGCCUCCAGAACUAUAAGAAGUUACUAUGCUUAAGCCACACAGUCAUUGGUAUUUUUUUAGCAGCCUGAACUAAGACAUCUACAAUGAAUUUAUUUUUCUAGACAGUGGCUAUUACGGAAUGGAUUUACUCCAAGUGCUGUAUGUAAUGUGACAGUGGAUCUGAAUUUGGCAAUGGGAAAGAGAAAUCUUAUAGUCAAUUUAAAAAUAUCAGUGAAUUUGAAGACAGGGGCAGAAGUUUACCUGGGGAACAACUUAUGUGAAUAUGUCUGUGCAGUGGGAAGGCUGAAUAUUUUCUUGUUGUUAGGCAUUCCCCCAAAAGAUAUAAAUGUAUCAUUUUUAGGACAUUUCUCCUUAGAACACUAUUUUUACCCUUUCAAAUUCAAGGUGUAAGGAGACUCAUUUCUUUUACAGGAUGAUAAAGGGGUGCAGAUUACAUUUUAAUAAUGCAAACUGUCAAAUAAUAGAGGCACAUAUUUAAUGCAAACUGUCAAAUAAUAGAGGCACAUAUUUAGAAGAAGGGUUUCAUCAAUCUCUGGGUAAAUUAUAAUCCCAGGUCCAACUCUUUUAUGAUAAUAAGAAAAAAAUUUUUAUGAAGAAUUCCAGUGAAGAUUGAUAAUAAAAAGAAUGACAGUUUCUAAGGAGGCAAUAAAUUGGUACUUUUUUCUUUUAUAUUUCAUGUUUAUCAAAAGAAUGGCAUAAAUUUCAAAUGCUAGUGAUAUUUUAUAAUCCAAACAGUGGAUUGCCUUCUAUAGUUUUCUGUAGCAUACACAGGAAAUAUAUAGUCUGUCUUUUCUUUUCUUUUUUUUUUUGACAAUGAUCAUAACCUACUGAAGUAAGUGUGAUACAGCUCCUUCAGUGAAAAGAAAAAUGUGUUUUCCACUAAAGUUCAAUAUGGAUUGAUAACAUUAACCUCAAAAGGAUCACAGAAAAACUGUAUACAUCAUUUAUUCUUAUUUUCUCUAUUAAAUCACCUUAAUAUUUUCAUCUACAGUAUUUGGGUUGUAUUGGAGGCGUAUUAAAAUAUUUUCCUGUAAUUUACUGUUGCAAAAACAGAGAAAUUCUGCUUUUUGGUCUUUUGUGGAUGUAUUUAAUAAAUUCAAGGCAAUUUCUCUACCUUUCCUUUCCUUCCUUUCACUCCAACUCCCCUUCUCCUAUUAAGCUUCUUC
Molecule: long non-coding RNA, 1609 nt
Organism: Mustela putorius furo (domestic ferret)
Lineage: Eukaryota; Metazoa; Chordata; Mammalia; Carnivora; Mustelidae
Source: Ensembl